This 137-nucleotide non-coding RNA is filed under the name Nomascus leucogenys (northern white-cheeked gibbon). Lineage: Eukaryota; Metazoa; Chordata; Mammalia; Primates; Hylobatidae. The record is from Rfam by way of RNAcentral.
GCCAGGUGUGGUGGUGCACACCUGUAGUCCUAGCUGCUUGGGAGGCUGAGGCAAGAGGAUUGCUUGAGCCCAGGAAUUUCAGGGUGAGUGACUGCCUCGGCAUCUAGCCUGGGCGACAGAGUGAGACCCUAUCUCUU